UUGCCUACGGGAGGCAGCAGUGGGGAAUUUUGGACAAUGGGCGCAAGCCUGAUCCAGCUAUUCCGCGUGUGGGAAGACGGCCUUCGGGUUGUAAACCACUUUUGUAGAGGACGAAAAGUCUGUUGAUAAUACCGAUAGACGAUGACGGUACUCUAAGAAUAAGCACCGGCUAACUACGUGCCAGCAGCCGCGGUAAUACGUAUGGCGCGAGCGUUAAUCGGAAUUACUGGGCG
This 233-nucleotide ribosomal RNA is filed under the name uncultured bacterium. RNAcentral's name for it is "partial 16S ribosomal RNA". It matches the Rfam family "Bacterial small subunit ribosomal RNA", at positions 335 to 560 of the family's 1533-position model. The record is from RNAcentral.